AAGUUUGAUUAUGGCUCAGAUUGAACGCUGGCGGGAUGCUUUACACAUGCAAGUCGAACGGCAACACGGACUUCGGUCUGGUGGCGAGUGGCGAACGGGUGAGUAAUGUAUCGGAACGUGCUGGUAGCGGGGGAUAACUACGCGAAAGCGUAGCUAAUACCACAUACGCCCUUCGGGGAAAGCGGGGGACCUUCGGGCCUCGCACUAUUAGAGCGGCCGAUAUCGGAUUAGCUAGUUGGUGGGACGCGGCUCACCAAGGCGACGAUCCGUAGCUGGUUUGAGGACAACAAACCACACUGGGACUGAGACACGGCCCAGACUCCUACGGGGAGGCGGCAGUGGGGAAUUUUGGAUCAAUGGGGAAACCCUGAUCCAGCCAUCCCGCGUGUGCGAUGAAGGCCUUCGGGUUGUAAAGCACUUUUGGCAGGAAAGAAACGGCACGGGAUAAUACCCCGUGCAACUGGCGAACGCCUGCAGAAUAAGCGCCGGCUAACUACGUGCCAGCAGCCGCGGUAAUACGUAGGUGCAAGCGUUAAUCGGAAUUACUGGGCGUAAAGCGUGCGCAGGCGGUUCGGAAAAGAAAGAUGUGAAAUCCCAGAGCUUAACUUUGGAACUGCAUUUUUAACUACCGAGCUAGAGUGUGUCAGAGGAGGUGGAAUUCCACGCGUGUAGCAGUGAAAUGCGUAGAUAUGCGGAGGAACACCGAUGGCGAAGGCAGCCUCCUGGGAUAACACUGACGCUCAUGCACGAAAGCGUGGGGAGCAAACAGGAUUAGAAUACCUGGUAGUCCACGCCUAAACGAUGUCAACUAGCUGUUGGGGCCUUCCGGGCCUUGGUAGCGCAGCCCCAACGCGUGAAGGUGUUGCCUGGGGAGAGUACGGUCGCAAGAUUAAAACUCAAAGGAAUUGACAGGGACCCGCACAAGCGUUGGAUGAUGUGGAUUAAUUCGAUGCAACGCGAAAAACCUUACCUACCCUUGACAUGUCUGGAAUCCCGAAGAGAUUUGGGAGUGCUCGCAAGAGAACCGGAACACAGGUGCUGCAUGGCUGUCGUCAGCUCGUGUCGUGAGAUGUUGGGUUAAGUCCCGCAACGAGCGCAGCCGCCUUGUCAUUAGUUGCUACGAAGGGCACUCUAAUGAGACUGCCGGUGACAAACCGGAGGAAGGUGGGGAUGACGUCAAGUCACUCAUGGCCCUUAUGGGUAGGGCUUCACGUCAUACAAUGGUCGGGACAGAGGGUCGCCAGCCCGCGAGAGGCCAAUCCCAGAAACCCGAUCGUAGUCCGGAUCGCAGUGCAACUCGACUGCUUGAAGUCGGAAUCGCUAGUAAUGCCGGAUCAGCAUGUCAUGAUGAAUACGUUCCGGGUCUUGUACACACCGCCCGUCACACCAUGGGAGUGGGUUUACCGAUAGUUAGCCUAACCGUAAGGAGGCGAUUACCACGGUAGGAUUCAUGACUGGGGUGAAGUCGUAACAAGGUAG
This 1479-nucleotide ribosomal RNA is filed under the name uncultured Bordetella sp. Its description in RNAcentral is "partial 16S-23S ribosomal RNA intergenic spacer". It matches the Rfam family "Bacterial small subunit ribosomal RNA". The record is from RNAcentral. Lineage: Bacteria; Pseudomonadati; Pseudomonadota; Betaproteobacteria; Burkholderiales; Alcaligenaceae.